AGUGAACGCUGGCGGUAUGCCUAACACAUGCAAGUCGAACGGCAGCACAGUAAGAGCUUGCUCUUACGGGUGGCGAGUGGCGGACGUGUGAGGAAUACAUCGGAAUCUACUUUUUCGUGGGGGAUAACGUAGGGAAACUUACGCUAAUACCGCAUACGACCUACGGGUGAAAGCAGGGGAUCUUCUGACCUUGCGCGAUUGAAUGAGCCGAUGUCGGAUUAGCUAGUUGGCGGGGUAAAGGCCCACCAAGGCGACGAUCCGUAGCUGGUCUGGGAGGAUGAUCAGCCACACUGGAACUGAGACACGGUCCAGACUCCUACGGGAGGCAGCAGUGGGGAAUAUUGGACAAUGGGCGCAAGCCUGAUCCAGCCAUACCGCGUGGGUGAAGAAGGCCUUCGGGUUGUAAAGCCCUUUUGUUGGGAAAGAAAAGCAGCAGGUUAAUACCCCGCUGUUCUGACGGUACCAAAAGAAUAAGCACCGGCUAACUUCGUG
Molecule: ribosomal RNA, 492 nt
Filed under: uncultured bacterium
Lineage: Bacteria
Description: partial 16S ribosomal RNA
Rfam family: Bacterial small subunit ribosomal RNA
Source: RNAcentral